GACGCCGUAGACAAGUGGAUCAAGUCGAGAGUCUGCAAAACUCUUAUUCGUGGGUUCGAAUCCCACCGGCGUCU
Molecule: non-coding RNA, 74 nt
Organism: Candidatus Woesebacteria bacterium
Lineage: Bacteria; Candidatus Woeseibacteriota
Source: Rfam